UACAGAGGUCUCAAGCGUUGUUCGGAUUCAUUGGGCGUAAAGGGUGCGUAGGCGGCGCGGUAAGUCGGGUGUGAAAUCUUGGAGCUUAACUCCGAAACUGCAUUCGAUACUGCCGUGCUUGAGGACUGGAGAGGAGACUGGAAUUUACGGUGUAGCGGUGAAAUGCGUAGAUAUCAAGAGGAACACCUGAGGUGAAGACGGGUUGCUGGGCUGACACUGACGCUGAGGCGCGAAAGCCAGGGGAGCAAACGGG
Molecule: ribosomal RNA, 253 nt
Filed under: uncultured bacterium
Lineage: Bacteria
Description: partial 16S ribosomal RNA
Rfam family: Bacterial small subunit ribosomal RNA
Source: RNAcentral